GAGUUUGAUCGUGGCUCAGGACGAACGCUGGCGGCGUGCUUAACACAUGCAAGUCGAACGGAGUGCCCCUGAAAGAGUUUUCGGACAAUGGAUGGGAACACUUAGUGGCGGACGGGUGAGUAACGCGUGAGUAACCUGCCUUGGAGUGGGGAAUAACAGCUGGAAACAGCUGCUAAUACCGCAUGAUGCAGUUGGGCCGCAUGGCUCUGACUGCCAAAGAUUUAUCGCUCUGAGAUGGACUCGCGUCUGAUUAGCUGGUUGGCGGGGUAACGGCCCACCAAGGCGACGAUCAGUAGCCGACCUGAGAGGGUGGCCGGCCACAUUGGGACUGAGACACGGCCCAAACUCCUACGGGAGGCAGCAGUGGGGAAUAUUGCACAAUGGGGGAAACCCUGAUGCAGCAACGCCGCGUGAGUGAAGAAGUAUUCGGUAUGUAAAGCUCUAUCAGCAGGGAAGAAAAAGACGGUACUGACUAAGAAGCCCCGGCUAACUACGUGCCAGCAGCCGUUA
This 510-nucleotide ribosomal RNA is filed under the name uncultured microorganism. RNAcentral describes it as "bacterial SSU rRNA". It matches the Rfam family "Bacterial small subunit ribosomal RNA", at positions 9 to 520 of the family's 1533-position model. The record is from RNAcentral.